AUGCUUCCGGCCCAACAGCUAGCCCGUCACCCUGUGCCCUGUCGCUCGUGCUGUCCUCUUCCAAUCGAGCCGAGCUAUCGAUCCAGACAAACGCCGCCGUCGCCGCCGCGCCGCCUGCCCGCCCCCACGACUGGCCCGGCCCCGCGGAUUCUGCCCAAGCCCCAGCUCAGCCAAAUCUCUCCUGUAGUUUACUGUUGCUGCGCCCUACAGAUAUCACUAACACUUGCUCCUCUGUGGCAGUUCUCCAUUCGAUUGCAAGUCUGCCUGUGCAAGGUUCGCAUUCCUACAUCUUUGGAAAUGCAUCCUCAUCUAACCCUACACAGGCAUCCUAUGUGUGCUGAGAUUAUCGAAGAAUUCCAGAAGUGCCAUGUGGAUCACCCCAUCAAAAAAUUCUUUGGUGAAUGCACAGAUCUUAAGAUUAAGCUUGAUCGGUGCUUCCGGCAGGAGAAAGCUGUGAAGAGAAAGGCAAACUUUGAAGAGAGCAAGAAAUUUAAAGAAAGGUUGCAGGCUUAUAAAAAGGAAAUGGCUGAGAAAGAAAAUGAAUCAUAA
RNAcentral lists this ribosomal RNA (549 nucleotides) under Triticum aestivum (bread wheat). RNAcentral describes it as "partial small subunit ribosomal RNA". The record is from RNAcentral. Lineage: Eukaryota; Viridiplantae; Streptophyta; Magnoliopsida; Poales; Poaceae.